UAAUUAUAGGAUCUGCUGAGAUUCUGGCGC
Molecule: non-coding RNA, 30 nt
Filed under: Mus musculus (house mouse)
Lineage: Eukaryota; Metazoa; Chordata; Mammalia; Rodentia; Muridae
Source: RNAcentral